RNAcentral lists this ribosomal RNA (341 nucleotides) under uncultured bacterium. RNAcentral describes it as "bacterial SSU rRNA". It matches the Rfam family "Bacterial small subunit ribosomal RNA", at positions 167 to 507 of the family's 1533-position model. The record is from RNAcentral.
UACCCAAUGACGUCUCUAGAAGACAUCUGAAAGAGAUUAAAGAUUUAUCGGUGAUGGAGUGGGGAUGCGUCUGAUUAGCUUGUUGGCGGGGUAACGGCCCACCAAGGCGACGAUCAGUAGGGGUUCUGAGAGGAAGGUCCCCACAUUGGAACUGAGACACGGUCCAAACUCCUACGGGAGGCAGCAGUGAGGAAUAUUGGUCAAUGGGCGAGAGCCUGAACCAGCCAAGUAGCGUGCAGGAUGACGGCCCUAUGGGUUGUAAACUGCUUUUAUAAGGGAAUAAAGUUAGUCUCGUGAGACUUUUGCAUGUACCUUAUGAAUAAGGACCGGCUAAUUCCGUG